CUGACAGAAGAGAGUGAGCACACACUGGCAAUUGUAUAUGACUAUAUUUUUGCCCGGUGCGUGCUCACUUCUCUUUCUGUCAG
This is a non-coding RNA of Thalictrum thalictroides, 83 nucleotides long. NCBI's taxonomy places the organism in Eukaryota, Viridiplantae, Streptophyta, Magnoliopsida, Ranunculales, Ranunculaceae. The record is from the annotation of a GenBank genome assembly.